GACGAACGCUGGCGGCGUGCUUAACACAUGCAAGUCGAGCGGUAAGGCCCUUUCGGGGUACACGAGCGGCGAACGGGUGAGUAACACGUGGGUGACCUGCCCUCAGCUCUGGGAUAAGCCCGGGAAACUGGGUCUAAUACCGGAUAUGACUCCAUGACGCAUGUUGUGGGGUGGAAAGCCUUGUGCGGCUGAGGAUGGGCCCGCGGCCUAUCAGCUUGUUGGUGGGGUGAUGGCCACCAAGGCGACGACGGGUAGCCGGCCUGAGAGGGCGACCGGCCACACUGGGACUGAGAUACGGCCCAGACUCCUACGGGAGGCAGCAGUGGGGAAUCUUGCGCAAUGGCGAAAGCCUGACGCAGCGACGCCGCGUGAGGGAUGACGGCCU
Molecule: ribosomal RNA, 385 nt
Filed under: uncultured bacterium
Lineage: Bacteria
Description: bacterial SSU rRNA
Rfam family: Bacterial small subunit ribosomal RNA
Source: RNAcentral